This 209-nucleotide long non-coding RNA is filed under the name Capsicum annuum. Its description in RNAcentral is "long non-coding RNA (CANN_LNC002625)". Lineage: Eukaryota; Viridiplantae; Streptophyta; Magnoliopsida; Solanales; Solanaceae. The record is from RNAcentral.
AGGGGUUCAGAUGACAAACAUGUAAGUAGAAGUGUCCAACUUUAAAACUGACAUAAUAUAGGGGUUCAGAAGAGCAUUUUGCCUUAAUUAAUUACAAUGCAUAGUCUCUCUUGCCAAGUAAAUACAAUUCAUAGCCUCCUUUAUUUUCUCCCUUAAUUUUUUCUCUUUCUCUAUCUUUUAUUUCUCCUUCUUUUUUUUUUAUUUUUCAG